This 501-nucleotide ribosomal RNA is filed under the name Bacillus sp. ChR-1. RNAcentral's name for it is "bacterial SSU rRNA". It matches the Rfam family "Bacterial small subunit ribosomal RNA", at positions 50 to 539 of the family's 1533-position model. Lineage: Bacteria; Bacillati; Bacillota; Bacilli; Caryophanales; Bacillaceae. The record is from RNAcentral.
UAUACAUGCAGUCGAGCGAUCGAUGGGAGCUUGCUCCCAGAAACAGCGGCGGACGGGUGAGUACACGUGGGCACCUGCCAUAAGACUGGGAUAACUUCGGGAAACCGGAGCUAAUACCGGAUACGUUCUUUUCUCGCAUGAGAGAAGAUGGAAAGACGGUUUUACGUUGUCACUUAUAGAUGGGCCCGCGGCGCAUUAGCUAGUUGGUGAGGUAAUGGCUCACCAAGGCGACGAUGCGUAGCCGACCUGAGAGGGUGAUCGGCCACACUGGGACUGAGACACGGCCCAGACUCCUACGGGAGGCAGCAGUAGGGAAUCUUCCGCAAUGGACGAAAGUCUGACGGAGCAACGCCGCGUGAACGAAGAAGGCCUUCGGGUCGUAAAGUUCUGUUGUUAGGGAAGAACAAGUACCAGAGUAACUGCUGGUACCUUGACGGUACCUAACCAGAAAGCCACGGCUAACUACGUGCCAGCAGCCGCGGUAAUACGUAGGUGGCAAGC